Molecule: ribosomal RNA, 438 nt
Filed under: uncultured bacterium
Lineage: Bacteria
Description: partial 16S ribosomal RNA
Rfam family: Bacterial small subunit ribosomal RNA
Source: RNAcentral
CUACGGGGCGCACCAGUAGGGAAUAUUGGACAAUGGGCGAAAGCCUGAUCCAGCAACACCGCGUGCACGAUGACGGCCUUCGGGUUGUAAAGUGCUUUUAGAGGAGAUGAGAAAGGACAGUAUCCUCUGAAUAAGCCUCGGCGAACUACGUGCCAGCAGCCGCGGUAAAACGUAGGAGGCAGCGUUAUCCGGAUUUAUUGGGCGUAAAGCGCGUGCAGGCGGUCUAGCAAGUUGGAUGUGAAAGCUCCCGGCUCAACUGGGAGAGGUCGUUCAAUACUGUUAGACUAGAGAAUAGAGAGGGAGGUGGAAUUCCGGGUGUAGUGGUGAAAUGCGUAGAUAUCCGGAGGAACACCAGUGGCGAAAGCGGCCUCCUGGACUAUUUCUGACGCUAAGACGCGAAAGCUAGGGUAGCAAACGGGAUUAGAUACCCCCGUAGUC